Long non-coding RNA from Brienomyrus brachyistius, 5159 nucleotides. RefSeq lists it as uncharacterized. The transcript is spliced from 9 exons. The record is from RefSeq and is a predicted model, not a curated record. Lineage: Eukaryota; Metazoa; Chordata; Actinopteri; Osteoglossiformes; Mormyridae.
GGGGGGGAGAUGGCCGCAUUAUAAGGCUCUGCCGGUCGAAUCGACAGCAAAAGCAGAACCUGAGCGAGGUUCGAAGCUGCGAUCUGCCGAUCGCAAGAAUGUUGACUGGACGGACGCUCUGCGGGUAGUGCCACCCAUCCGUCCCCGACCCACCGUCCCUUAUAGACCUUGUUUUAUAAAGCCCUGGCGGGCGUCGCGACAGCAAAGAGAGAAACUGUCCUCAGCGAGGUUCGAAGCUGCGAUCUGCCGAUCGCAAGAAUGUUGACUGGACGGACGCUCUGCGGGUAGUGCCACCCAACCAACCCCGACCCACCGUCCCUCUUAGGCCGUGUUAUUAAGGCUGUCGAAUCGACAGCAAAGAGAAACAGCACUGAGCGAGGUUCGAAGCUGCGAUCUGCCGAUCGCAAGAAUGAUGACGGGACGGACGCUCUGCGGGUAGUGCCACCCAACCAACCCCGACCCACCGUCCCUUAUAGACCUUGUUUUAUAAAGCCCUGGCGGGCGUCGCGACAGCAAAGAGAGAAACUGUCCUCAGCGAGGUUCGAAGCUGCGAUCUGCCGAUCGCAAGAAUGUUGACUGGACGGACGCUCUGCGGGUAGUGCCACCCAUCCAUCCCCGACCCACCGUCCCUUAUAGACCUUGUUUUAUAAAGCCCUGGCGGGCGUCGCGACAGCAAAGAGAGAAACUGUCCUCAGCGAGGUUCGAAGCUGCGAUCUGCCGAUCGCAAGAAUGUUGACUGGACGGACGCUCUGCGGGUAGUGCCACCCAACCAACCCCGACCCACCGUCCCUUAUAGACCUUGUUUUAUAACGGUCGACGCGACAGCAAAGAGAGAAACUGCACCCAGCGAGGUUCGAAGCUGCGAUCUGCCGAUCGCAAGAAUGUUGACUGGACGGACGCUCUGCGGGUAGUGCCACCCAACCAACCCCGACCCACCGUCCCUCUUAGGCCGUGUUAUUAAGGCUGUCGAAUCGACAGCAAAGAGAAACAGCACUGAGCGAGGUUCGAAGCUGCGAUCUGCCGAUCGCAAGAAUGUUGACUGGACGGACGCUCUGCGGGUAGUGCCACCCAACCAACCCCGACCCACCGUCCCUCUUAGGCCGUGUUAUUAAGGCUGUCGAAUCGACAGCAAAGAGAAACAGCACUGAGCGAGGUUCGAAGCUGCGAUCUGCCGAUCGCAAGAAUGAUGACGGGACGGACGCUCUGCGGGUAGUGCCACCCAACCAACCCCGACCCACCGUCCCUUAUAGACCUUGUUUUAUAACGGUCGACGCGACAGCAAAGAGAGAAACUGCACCCAGCGAGGUUCGAAGCUGCGAUCUGCCGAUCGCAAGAAUGAUGACGGGACGGACGCUCUGCGGGUAGUGCCACCCAACCAACCCCAGCCCACCGUCCCUUAUAGACCUUGUUUUAUAACGGUCGACGCGACAGCAAAGAGAGAAACUGUCCUCAGCGAGGUUCGAAGCUGCGAUCUGCCGAUCGCAAGAAUGAUGACGGGACGGACGCUCUGCGGGUAGUGCCACCCAACCAACCCCGACCCACCGUCCCUCUUAGGCCGUGUUAUUAAGGCUGUCGAAUCGACAGCAAAGAGAAACAGCACUGAGCGAGGUUCGAAGCUGCGAUCUGCCGAUCGCAAGAAUGUUGACUGGACGGACGCUCUGCGGGUAGUGCCACCCAACCAACCCCGACCCACCGUCCCUCUUAGGCCGUGUUAUUAAGGCUGUCGAAUCGACAGCAAAGAGAAACAGCACUGAGCGAGGUUCGAAGCUGCGAUCUGCCGAUCGCAAGAAUGAUGACGGGACGGACGCUCUGCGGGUAGUGCCACCCAACCAACCCCGACCCACCAUCCCUUUCAGGCCGUGUUAUAAGGCUCUGCCGGUCAAAUCCACAGCAAAGACAAACAGCACUGAGUGAGGUUCGAAGCUGCGAUCUGCCGAUCGCAAGAAUGAUGACGGGACGGACGCUCUGCGGGUAGUGCCACCCAACCAACCCCGACCCACCGUCCCUUUCAGGCCGUGUUAUAAGGCUCUGCCGGUCAAAUCCACAGCAAAGACAAACAGCACUGAGCGAGGUUCGAAGCUGCGAUCUGCCGAUCGCAAGAAUGAUGACGGGACGGACGCUCUGCGGGUAGUGCCACCCAACCAACCCCGACCCACCGUCCCUCUUAGGCCGUGUUAUUAAGGCUGUCGAAUCGACAGCAAAGACAAACAGCACCGAGCGAGGUUCGAAGCUGCGAUCUGCCGAUCGCAAGAAUGAUGACGGGACGGACGCUCUGCGGGUAGUGCCACCCAACCAACCCCGACCCACUGUCCCUCUUAGGCCGUGUUAUUAAGGCUGUCGAAUCGACAGCAAAGAGAAACAGCACUGAGCGAGGUUCGAAGCUGCGAUCUGCCGAUCGCAAGAAUGAUGACGGGACGGACGCUCUGCGGGUAGUGCCACCCGACCAACCCCUACCCACUGUCCCUUUCAGGCCGUGUUAUAAGGCUCUGCCGGUCAAAUCCACAGCAAAGACAAACAGCACUGAGCGAGGUUCGAAGCUGCGAUCUGCCGAUCGCAAGAAUGAUGACGGGACAGACGCUCUGCGGGUAGUGCCACCCCACCGUCCCUCUUAGGCCGCGUUAUAAGGCUCUGCCGGUCGACGCGACAGCGAAGAAAGAAACUGCACUGAGUGGGGUUCGAAGCUGCGAUCUGCCGAUCGCAAGAAUGAUGAUGGGACUGACGCUCUGCGGGUAGUGCCACCCAUCCAUCCCCGACCCACUUUCCCUUAAGGCCGCGUUAUAAGGCUCUGCCGGUCGACGCGACAGCGAAGAAAGAAACUGCACUGAGCCAGGUUUGAAGCUGCGAUCUUCUGAUCGCAAGAAUGACGCUAGGAAGGGACACUCUGCAGGUCGCGCCACCCAUCCAUUGACCCACUGUCACUUAAGGCCGCGUUAUAAGGCUCUGCCGGUCGACGCGACAGCGAAGAAAGAAACUGCACUGAGCCAGGUUCGAAGCUGCGAUCUGCCGAUCGCAAGAAUGAUGACGGGACGGACGCUCUGCGGGUACAGCCACCCAUCCAUCCUGUCCCUUAAGGCCUGACUAUAAAGCUCUGCCGGUCGACUUGACAGCAAAGACAGAAAUUGCCCUGAAUGAAAAAAAAAACAUUUACUGAUAUGUGAUCUGAAUUUCACAAUAUACUUCUAUUUUUUGCGAUUGAAAAUACAAUUCUCUGUUUGCCUGGAGCCCAUACAGGUGGGAAGUCACGAUGGGCCUGUUUGCGUAGACCGUUCUGAUUCUCUCUGCUACUACUGAGUAGGUAAGCUGACACGUUGGCUGCGUCGGGGGCCCCCGUGCCCUCUGGCAGCCAGCCAAGGGUCCAGCCUGUUCCCGACUUCGGAACAGGCCUCUCCGUGUAACCGGUGCCUGUGGAGAGCAGGAGACGGAACUGACUCCCACGUUCACGGCGUCUCCGCCCGACUAAGCGCUACAGCAGGGAUGCGUCCACGAUCUCCCUUACCGCCGUGAUCUCGCUUCAGGGGCCCGGAUUUAUUUGAGGUCUUGUAACCAGUCUGGGUGGGGCUGUGUUCUAUGUCCAAAUGCUUAAGGUCAUUUCUAAGCCAACUUAGUUACGGUAGCCAACGUGCAGGACGACAUUCAAGACAUUCCACGAGCGUUGUUGCGCAAAAUUGUGCCCCGUAGCUCUGUGUGUGCAAUAACUUAAAUGUGUGGGAGGGGAAAGCUUCCCAAAACACAUUUUUUCGCUUUCUCAGUGUUGUUCAAGCACAGCAGUGUCCCUAGUGAAUUAUCUGUCACGGCACACAAGUGCUGACCGCUGGUGGUUUUUAAAUAGCUCCCUUCCAAGGCUGAGAGGUCUGGCGAGUUCACUGCAGUGACCCACGCCCGAGAUCUGCCAGGCAGGUCUGGCAGGAACAGGACUAGCCGAUUGGCUGAUCGCUGGGGAUUUAGCUGGGCCUUGCAAAUGCGCCGGUCACGGUUCACGUGGAGAAUCUAUCCAGCCAAAUUCCAUAGCUGCUCAUCCGGCACAGGGGUCAUGUUGAAUAUGAAUCACUGGAAACACUGGUCAUGAGCAGAGAUGGAUAGUUUAGGUCCAGAGAGUAAAAGUCCAGACCAAGAGUUUAAAGCCAGUUGAGUAUAAAGAGUCACAGUCACAGAGUACUUAACUAAUUGUUUGAAACAAAAUCUUGGUCUGGACUUUUACUCUCUGGACUUCUGGUCAUGAGACAGGGACACCUUUGACUUUUUUGUGAUUAAUUGGGUAAUUGUAACCCAAAUUAUUCGAUCAUCCCAUUUAUUAUUGGACCAGGGAUGUACAGCACCUAUCCAAAGCAGCUUUGGACUGCGAUAUACCCUGGAUGGGAUGCCAGUUCAUUGCUGGGCACAGUCUCACACAUUAUAGGCAAUUUUGGGAUGCCACAUGUCAUUGGGGGGAGGGGGACAAUCGAGGGCCCAGAGGGCACAGGGAGAACUCAACAAAACUCAGAGCACAGGCUAGUGAAAGCCCCUGGUUCUAUCUACCAACUAUUGAUCUUUUUCCUGUCUCGCCGAUAGCAUUUCCAUGCACGUUGUUGGCAGAGCUACUGCCGUUUGAAAAUGAAAAUUUCUGGUUUCCGGACUCAGCUUGUUCUGUAAUAUGGUUUUGCUUGAAGUGACGGUUUGUGUGCGUGAUUCAUGGGUUUUAGAGAUUCAGUAACACCUUUUAUAAAAGGUGAAACAAUUUGAUGUAAAGAGGAAUAACAGCAGAGUUUGGUUGCUGAACCGCAAUUUUUCUGUUGGAGUUAAUUUUGUGAUGAAUGACGUGAUUCUCGACAGUCAGGUGUUACUGUUCCCUGUGAGUGCUGAUUAAGGCACUGGCACUACCUGGAUUAAUUUUGGUCUUGUAAGCAUCACAAGCAGGAUAAGUUGUUGGGAAGAUGGAUGGAUGGUAUAUGAAGAUCAAUACUACAUGUAAUGCACUACGCCUAUUGAUUUAUGAGCUUGUGUUGAAGACCAUUUGCUUCUUGCAUUCUUCACUGCAAUUUUUCCAUCCAUCUAUCCGAUCAUCUUUUCUUUGGAUUGUGGUAGGAAGCCAGAGUACCAAGAGGAAACCGGUGGAACACGGAGAACAAACUCCAUUGCUCCUCUCUACUUCUGCACAUGGAAGAUGUUAUCUUAGCAGAACA